UUGGAGGGCAAGUCUGGUGCCAGCAGCCGCGGUAAUUCCAGCUCCAAUAGCGUAUAUUAAAGUUGUUGCAGUUAAAAAGCUCGUAGUUGAAUUUCGGGGUUAGUAAGUUGGUCAUGCCUCUGGUAUGCACUGGCUUUACUGAUUCCUCCUUCUUGAUGAACUGUAAUGUCAUUAAUUUGGUGUUGCAGGGAAUCAGGACUGUUACUUUGAAAAAAUUAGAGUGUUUAAAGCAGGCAUACGCUUGAAUACAUUAGCAUGGAAUAAUGAAAUAGGACGUUUGAUCCUAUUUUGUUGGUUUCUAGGAUUGACGUAAUGAUUAAUAGGGAUAGUUGGGGGCAUUAGUAUUCAAUUGUCAGAGGUGAAAUUCUUGGAUUUAUUGAAGACUAACUGCUGCGAAAGCAUUUGCCAAGGAUGUUUUCAUUAAUCAAGAACGAAAGUUAGGGGAUCGAAGACGAUCAGAUACCGUCGUAGUCUUAACCAUAAACUAUGCCGACUAGGGAUCGGAUGAUGUUAUUUUUAAUGACUCAUUCGGCGCCUUACGGGAAAC
Molecule: ribosomal RNA, 547 nt
Filed under: uncultured Glomus
Lineage: Eukaryota; Fungi; Glomeromycota; Glomeromycetes; Glomerales; Glomeraceae
Description: SSU rRNA
Rfam family: Eukaryotic small subunit ribosomal RNA
Source: RNAcentral